GAAUGUCAUGUACCAGUGUUAAGAGUGGCAUGUACCAGUGUUAAGAGUGGAAUGUACCAGUGUAAAGAGUGGAAUGUACCAGUGGAAAGAGUGGAAUGUACCAGUGUUAAGAGUGUUAAGAGUGGAAUGUACCAGUGUUACGAGUGGCAUGUGCCAGUGUUACGAGUGGAAUGUACCAGUGUAAAGAGUGGAAUGUACCAGUGUAAAGAGUGGAAUGUACCAGUGUUAAGAGUGUUAAGAGUGGCAUGUACCAGUGUUAAGAGUGUUAAGAGUGGCAUGUACCAGUGUUAAGAGUGGAAUGUACCAGUGUAAAGAGUGGAAUGUACCAGUGUAAAGAGUGGAAUGUACCAGUGUUAAGAGUGGCAUGUACCACUGUUAAGAGUGUUAAGAGUGGAAUGUACCAGUGUUACGAGUGGCAUGUGCCAGUGUUACGAGUGGAAUGUACCAGUGUUACGAGUGGAAUGUACCAGUGUUAAGAGUGGCAUGUACCACUGUUAAGAGUGUUAAGAGUGGAAUGUGCCAGUGGCCCGAGUGGCAUGUACCAGUGUUAAGAGUGGAAUGUACCAGUGUUAAGAGUGGCAUGUACCACUGUUAAGAGUGUUAAGAGUGGAAUGUGCCAGUGGGCCGAGUGGCAUGUACCAGUGUUACGAGUGGCAUGUACCAGUGUUACAAGCGGCAUGUACCAGUGUUAAGAGUGUUAAGAGUGGAAUGUACCAGUGUAAAGAGUGGCAUGUACCAGUGUAAAGAGUGGAAUGUGCCAGUGUAAAGAGUGUUAAGAGUGGCAUGUACCAAUGUUAAGAGUGGAAUGUACCAGUGUAAAGAGUGGAAUGUACCAGUGUAAAGAGUGGAAUGUGCCAGUGUAAAGAGUGGAAUGUGCCAGUGUUACGAG
Molecule: long non-coding RNA, 889 nt
Organism: Gasterosteus aculeatus aculeatus (three-spined stickleback)
Lineage: Eukaryota; Metazoa; Chordata; Actinopteri; Perciformes; Gasterosteidae
Source: Ensembl